This 419-nucleotide ribosomal RNA is filed under the name uncultured prokaryote. RNAcentral describes it as "bacterial SSU rRNA". It matches the Rfam family "Archaeal small subunit ribosomal RNA", at positions 455 to 873 of the family's 1478-position model. The record is from RNAcentral.
GUGUCAGCCGCCGCGGUAAUACCGGCGGCCCGAGUGGCGGCCACUUUUAUUGGGCCUAAAGCGUCCGUAGCCGGGCUGGUAAGUCCUCCGGGAAAUCUGGUCGCUUAACGAUCAGACUGCCGGAGGAUACUGCCAGCCUUGGGACCGGGAGAGGCCGGGGGUAUUCCCGGGGUAGGGGUGAAAUCCUGUAAUCCCGGGAGGACCACCUGUGGCGAAGGCGCCCGGCUGGAACGGGUCCGACGGUGAGGGACGAAGGCCAGGGGAGCGAACCGGAUUAGAUACCCGGGUAGUCCUGGCUGUAAACGAUGCGGACUAGGUGUCACCGAAGCUACGAGCUUCGGUGGUGCCGGAGGGAAGCCGUUAAGUCCGCCGCCUGGGGAGUACGGCCGCAAGGCUGAAACUCAAAUGAAUUGACGGGG